UAGGGAAUCUUCCGCAAUGGACGCAAGUCUGACGGAGCAACGCCGCGUGAGUGAGGAAGGCCUUCGGGUCGUAAAGCUCUGUUGCCAGGGAAGAACAGAGGGGAGAGUAACUGCUCCCCUUGUGACGGUACCUGAGAAGAAAGCCCCGGCUAACUACGUGCCAGCAGCCGCGGUAAUACGUAGGGGGCAAGCGUUGUCCGGAAUUAUUGGGCGUAAAGCGCGUGCAGGCGGCCUUGUAAGUCUGGUGUUUAAACCCGGGGCUCAACCUCGGGUCGCACGGGAAACUGCAAGGCUUGAGUGCAGAAGAGGAAAGUGGAAUUCCACGUGUAGCGGUGAAAUGCGUAGAGAUGUGGAGGAACACCAGUGGCGAAGGCGACUUUCUGGGCUGUAACUGACGCUGAGGCGCGAAAGCGUGGGGAGCAAACAGGAUUAGAUACCCUGGUAGUCCACGCCGUAAACGAUGAGUGCUAGGUGUUAGGGGUUUCGAUACCCUUGGUGCCGAAGUUAACACAGUAA
This 516-nucleotide ribosomal RNA is filed under the name uncultured Bacillota bacterium. RNAcentral's name for it is "bacterial SSU rRNA". It matches the Rfam family "Bacterial small subunit ribosomal RNA", at positions 355 to 863 of the family's 1533-position model. The record is from RNAcentral. Lineage: Bacteria; Bacillati; Bacillota.